RNAcentral lists this ribosomal RNA (466 nucleotides) under uncultured bacterium. Its description in RNAcentral is "partial 16S ribosomal RNA". It matches the Rfam family "Bacterial small subunit ribosomal RNA", at positions 28 to 523 of the family's 1533-position model. The record is from RNAcentral.
GAUGAACGCUGGCGGCGUGCCUAACACAUGCAAGUCGAGCGAACCCUUCGGGGUGAGCGGCGGACGGGUGAGUAACGCGUGGGUAACCUGCCCUGUACACACGGAUAACAUACCGAAAGGUAUGCUAAUACGAGAUAAUAUAUUUUAAUCGCAUGGUUAAGAUAUCAAAGCUCCGGCGGUACAGGAUGGACCCGCGUCUAAUUAGCUAGUUGGUGAGGUAAUGGCUCACCAAGGCGACGAUCAGUAGCCGACCUGAGAGGGUGAUCGGCCACACUGGAACUUAGACACGGUCCAGACUCCGACGGGAGGCAGCAGUGGGGAAUAUUGCACAAUGGGCGAAAGCCUUAUGCAGCAACGCCGCGUGAGCGAUGAAGGCCUUCGGGUCGUAAAGCUCUGUCCUCAAGGAAGAUAAUGACGGUACUUGAGGAGGAAGCCCCGGCUAACUACGUGCCAGCCGCCGCCGUAA